Molecule: long non-coding RNA, 957 nt
Organism: Rana temporaria (common frog)
Lineage: Eukaryota; Metazoa; Chordata; Amphibia; Anura; Ranidae
Exons: 4
Source: RefSeq, a predicted model, not a curated record
GAUUCUCCUGAAUAUGAGAUUAUGAUGAUAUGACCUUACAGAAAAUCAUUCAAUUCAUAAAUGACUAUUUACAGAUCAAACCCGUCUACUGCAGAUGUUGAGGGGAAUGGAAACUUUUCUCCUGUGUCAAUUAUCCCAGGCUGAGAAUCUAAACUUUCCCCAACUAGAGUUGGCUCUUCACAAUGGAGAUAAAGGUCCCUCACAAGGAGCCCAGAGACUGGGAGAUACUUCCGGUGUUCCUCUCUUCUUUCUUCCCCGUUAAUGAAGACACAGACGUAUUGAUCUUUUCAUUGUUCACAUUACAGGUUCCCUUACCAGCGACAAUCAGAGGAUUUUGGCCGCAGUGGGGAAACUAACAGAUGGACUCCACAACAGCAACGGCUCUGUUGAUCCAUUAUGCGGUUCGGAAUGGACACACUAUGGCCUAAACUGCUACUACCUGUCCCAUUACGCACGGCCGUGGGAUUACGCCAAGAAACACUGUGAGGAUAAGAAGAGUCAUCUGGUGGUCAUCAAAGGUCUGGUUGAGAUGAAUUUUCUACGUAACGUUUCACAGUCCCAGAGUUUGUGGAUCGGUCUUUCAAGUGAUAACGACAUCUUGAAUUGGGUGGACGGCACAUCUUAUGAGAGAUCUCCAAAGUUCUGGAAUGACGAUGAGCCCCAGACUUGGUAUAGGGAUUUUCGAUAUUGUGCUUAUUUGAAAAAUGGAGAGAAUUGGAGCGCUUCUUUCUGCUCCCGUAGUUACCGAUACGUCUGUGAGAAGAAGACAUUGUGACCACCAGACUUCUCCUGAUAUCUCCUCAUCUCUCCUUCACCAUACUACAGCGAGGGAAGAUCUACUAACAGAAGAAAAUGUAUCCUGCCGGACAUCCCGGGACUUGGAGGGCCAAUUUUUUUUCGGGGGGCGCAAACAAACUGAAAAAACAAAACAGCAAUUGCAGCCACUGUGCCAUUGAA